UGACGCAGCACGCCGCGUGGAGGAUGAAAUCCCUUGGGAUGUAAACUCCUUUCGAUAGGGAAGAUAAUGACGGUACCUAUAGAAGAAGCCCCGGCUAACUUCGUGCCAGCAGCCGCGGUAAUACGAGGGGGGCAAGCGUUGUUCGGAAUUAUUGGGCGUAAAGGGUGCGUAGGCGGUUUGACAAGUCUUAUGUGAAAUCUUCGGGCUCAACCCGAAGUCUGCAUGGGAAACUGUCGGGCUUGAGUAUGGGAGAGGUGAGUGGAAUUUCCGGUGUAGCGGUGAAAUGCGUAGAUAUCGGAAGGAACACCUGUGGCGAAAGCGGCUCACUGGACCAUAACUGACGCUGAUGCACGAAAGCUAGGGGAGCAAACAGGAUUAGAUACCCUGGUAGUCCUAGCCCUAAACGAUGAUUGUUUGAUGUGGGGGGUACCCAAUCCUCCCGUGUCGAAGCUAACGCGAUAAACAAUCCGCCUGGGGAGUACGGUCGCAAGGCUGAAACUCAAUGAAACUGACGGACAGGUCCAUGACUGACGUUUUGGCGAACUACUCGCUCGGGUCUCCAAUACUCCCGGCUGCC
This 577-nucleotide ribosomal RNA is filed under the name uncultured bacterium. RNAcentral describes it as "bacterial SSU rRNA". It matches the Rfam family "Bacterial small subunit ribosomal RNA", at positions 384 to 1369 of the family's 1533-position model. The record is from RNAcentral.